AUUGAACGCUGGCGGCAUGCCUUACACAUGCAAGUCGAACGGCAGCACGGACUUCGGUCUGGUGGCGAGUGGCGAACGGGUGAGUAAUGUAUCGGAACGUACCUUUCAGUGGGGGAUAACGUAGCGAAAGUUACGCUAAUACCGCAUAUUCUGUGAGCAGGAAAGCAGGGGAUCGCAAGACCUUGCGCUGAUUGAGCGGCCGAUAUCAGAUUAGCUAGUUGGUGGGGUAAAGGCCUACCAAGGCUACGAUCUGUAGCGGGUCUGAGAGGAUGAUCCGCCACACUGGAACUGAGACACGGUCCAGACUCCUACGGGAGGCAGCAGUGGGGAAUUUUGGACAAUGGGGGCAACCCUGAUCCAGCCAUGCCGCGUGAGUGAAGAAGGCCUCGGUGUAAG
RNAcentral lists this ribosomal RNA (396 nucleotides) under uncultured bacterium. RNAcentral describes it as "bacterial SSU rRNA". It matches the Rfam family "Bacterial small subunit ribosomal RNA", at positions 30 to 429 of the family's 1533-position model. The record is from RNAcentral.